GCCACUGUAUUCUAUUGAAGAACAUGUCUAACAGUAACACUACUCAAGAGACCCUGGAAAUAAUGAAAGAAUCAGAAAAAAAACUGGUGGAAGAAUCUGUAAACAAAAACAAGUUUAUAUCUAAGACUCCAAGUAAGGAAGAAAUUGAGAAAGAAUGUGAAGAUACCAGUUUGCGUCAGGAGACACAGAGGCGGACAUCUAACCAUGGUCAUGCCAGGAAAAGAGCCAAGUCUAAUUCCAAGCUAAAGUUGGUGCGCAGCCUGGCAGUGUGUGAGGAGUCCUCCACCCCAUUUGCUGAUGGGCCAUUAGAAACCCAGGAUAUAAUUCAAUUGCACAUCAGUUGCCCUUCUGACAAAGAGGAAGAAAAGUCCACAAAAGAUGUCUCUGAAAAGGAAGACAAGGACAAAAACAAAGAAAAGAUCCCAAGGAAGAUGCUGUCCAGAGACUCCAGCCAGGAAUAUACGGACUCCACUGGAAUAGACCUACAUGAAUUUCUUGUAAAUACACUGAAAAAGAACCCAAGGUAAUAACAUGAUGGGUAUAAGAGGAAAAGGGGUUAGGGGAUAGCAAGAUUCCAAGAGGCCAACGGCUUCCCAGAAUUUUUCCAU
RNAcentral lists this small RNA (608 nucleotides) under Pongo abelii (Sumatran orangutan). RNAcentral describes it as "retained intron". The record is from RNAcentral. Lineage: Eukaryota; Metazoa; Chordata; Mammalia; Primates; Hominidae.